GCGCUCACUUCAGCAGCACAUAUACUGAUAUUGGAACCUUAUUAGCAUGGCCCCUGUGCAAGGAUGACAAACAACUUCGUGAAGCAGUUCAUAUUUUU
This 98-nucleotide small nuclear RNA is filed under the name Jaculus jaculus (lesser Egyptian jerboa). The record is from RNAcentral. Lineage: Eukaryota; Metazoa; Chordata; Mammalia; Rodentia; Dipodidae.